Molecule: long non-coding RNA, 432 nt
Filed under: Populus tremula
Lineage: Eukaryota; Viridiplantae; Streptophyta; Magnoliopsida; Malpighiales; Salicaceae
Description: long non-coding RNA (PTRE_LNC003341)
Source: RNAcentral
UAUUCUCCUCGUUCUAUUUACACUAUUUGCUCCCUAGAACAUUUAUUCUUUCAGAAAUGUUAAUACAUGCAUAGAUAACAAGAACAGGAAGGGAGGGGGAAGGGGGUUUGACUGUAUGUAUUUGCUUGCGAGUAAAAACUGGGAAGCACCUGGAAAAGGUCCUGUGUUGAAUCUAAAUUGGUAAGAUGUGAUAUACUGAUAUCUAGAGAGAUAACUUAAUUUAUCUAUUGAAGUAAAGCAUUUAAAUGCUUAUACAAUGUUUUUGGAACAUUAAAUAUCUAUUUGAUCAGAAUCUGUGAACCUAAAACCACAAUGAAUAGAAAUGCAAGUUUGUCAUUGUAAACAUUGCAUCGAUGAUGCAUCACAAGUGUUGCUAGAAAACAUCAAGUUAAAAUUGAAGCACCAUGAGUUUCUCUAUGGCUUGGUUUACCA